ACGGAAGGCAGCAGUGAGGAAUAUUGGUCAAUGGGCGGAAGCCUGAACCAGCCAAGUCGCGUGAAGGAUGAAGGUAUUAUGUAUUGUAAACUUCUUUAGCUGUGGAGCAAUAAUCUCCAUGUAUGGAGAGAUGAGAGUACGCAGAGAAUAAGGAUCGGCUAACUCCGUGCCAGCAGCCGCGGUAAUACGGAGGAUCCGAGCGUUAUCCGGAUUUAUUGGGUUUAAAGGGUGCGCAGGCGGCUUUCUAAGUCAGUGGUAAAAUCGUGGUGCUCAACGCCAUCCCGCCAUUGAUACUGGAGAGCUUGAUUGCGGUCGAGGUUUGCGGAAUUCGUCGUGUAGCGGUGAAAUGCAUAGAUAUGACGAAGAACACCGAUUGCGUAGGCAGCAGACCAGGCCGUAAAUGACGCUCAUGCACGAAAGUGCGGGGAUCGAACAGGAUUAGAUACCCUGGUA
This 453-nucleotide ribosomal RNA is filed under the name uncultured Porphyromonadaceae bacterium. RNAcentral's name for it is "bacterial SSU rRNA". It matches the Rfam family "Bacterial small subunit ribosomal RNA", at positions 341 to 792 of the family's 1533-position model. Lineage: Bacteria; Pseudomonadati; Bacteroidota; Bacteroidia; Bacteroidales; Porphyromonadaceae. The record is from RNAcentral.